RNAcentral lists this ribosomal RNA (105 nucleotides) under uncultured bacterium. Its description in RNAcentral is "partial 16S ribosomal RNA". It matches the Rfam family "Bacterial small subunit ribosomal RNA", at positions 1365 to 1482 of the family's 1533-position model. The record is from RNAcentral.
AAUACGUUCUCGGGCCUUGUACACACCGCCGUCACACCACGAAAGUCAAUGGGACCAGAAGUCAUCGGUUUUCCGGUGCCAAAGGUCUAAUCGAUGGUUGGGGUG